RNAcentral lists this small RNA (3932 nucleotides) under Pongo abelii (Sumatran orangutan). RNAcentral describes it as "retained intron". Lineage: Eukaryota; Metazoa; Chordata; Mammalia; Primates; Hominidae. The record is from RNAcentral.
UAAUUACAGAUCUACCUUUAGCACAGAAGUAGCCAUAGACACUAUGCAGAUAUGUGAGUUGGCUGUGUUCCAGUUCGACUUUAUUUGCAAAUACAGGUAGCAAGCCAGAUUUGGCCCAAGAGCCCUGGUUUGCCAACCCUGCUUUAUGGUGAGGUAAGGUCUAUGGGGCGUUAUUUUUGCUCCUCCUUCCACCUUUCUUUUUAUACUUCUAGGUGUUUUGAAACUAAAGUGAGAUGAAUGUGGCCAUUCCGUAGUCUACAGUUUGACCUUGACAUACCGAAGUCAAUUUUUUUUUUUUUAUAUUUUCCUAAGUUACAUUCUUGUUAGGUAGCCUUUCCCCUUUUUGAGACAGAUGUAAGAAGAAAAUAUUUUUUACUUUAUAAGCUCUUACUUCAGAAGAGGGUAAUGAGUUUUAUACUGUAAACACUUCAGUUGGAACUUAAAAGAUAUUGAGAUAUAUUCCUUUUUAAUCAGGCAAAACUGGAAUUGAAAUUUAUUUGGGUAGCUAAUCAGAAAACUAAUCAAUCAAAGGUUUUUUUCUUUUUUUUUGAGUGCAAAGCUGAGACCCGACUCUUUAUUUGGAUAGACUGUUCCUUUACCUUAUCAUAAGUUAAUUGAUGUAAUGCCAGGUCAAGAAACAGCAUUUUCAGUUAAAUGAAAUACUGUGCUGCUGUUAAUAAUGAGUCCUCUGCAGAUGUAUGGCUGUGUCUUUGUGAACUAUAAUGAAAUGUGAGAAGAAUGUAGUCUUCAUAUGAUUAGAACUGUCUAGGAAUGUGUUUGAUACAAUCAUAAGGAUGAAUUGCCUUAGACUUUUUACCUAGUGUUAAUGGGAAGAGAUUUUGGCCUGAAUUUUUAUUGUCUUCAGGAAAUUUCUGUUUUAUCUUAAGGUUGGUUAAAUAUAUAAACAACGAUUCAGUAGGAAUUUUUAAAAUCCCUAAUGGACUUCAAUAUGAAAAGAAAGUAAAGAAUGUUUUUUUCUAAGCCUUAAGCCAAUACUUAGCACAUUUCAUACCAUUUUAGCAGCACUUGUCAGAAAGAAAAUUUUAAAAAUAUAGUGGAUUUUGUUUGGUUGCCAGAAUGCACACUUAAACUUGUUCUGCAAUUUUCUCUUCAUUUGAUCCCCAAAUGAACCUCUGGAAGGUAGCCUUUUCUUAAGUUUCCUCCUGCACUUUAAAAUCACCCUACUUGCACCUCUUCAAGUAGGUCUUUCAGGAGACGUGCACCUUGUCUUUGCCAAGGUAUGCCUCUGGCUUCCUCCCCGACGGUUUCCACAGCUUUCCUUCUCCUUGCAGCAGGCGUUUCCACUUAAUAGCUGCCUCUCAGCAUCUCUCUAGAGAUCCAAUCCCAAAUCUGUAAACCUUCUUGGCUUUUUUUUUUUUUAUGAAGAUAAAAUAUGUAACAAUAAGACACUAGACCAUAUAGUAGUUAUCCAGUAAAUCAUAGCUGUCAUCGUUGUUGUUAUUUUAGAAAUCCUGCAUUUUAUCCUCUUGCAUGGUCUGCUCCUUUUCGACUACCAACUUGCCCAUGUGUUUUCUCCUAAAACACGUUGUUCAAGUUGCUUGUCCCUGGAGCCCUGGCAUUUUCUCCUCCUCACCAUUGUUCUCACACCUCUACCAUGGAAACCUUGGCAGCCUGCUUUCUGGACCCAUCUCACCAAAUGCCCAUGCAGCUACCACACUGCGGCUUUUUCUUGAUCUCUGUCCUCUACCACAUUGUCAUUCUGGACAAGGCAGUCUCCCGAUUUUCCUUGUCCUAUUUGACGAUACGUUUUAUAUUUGCUUCUCUGACUUUGAGUCCUCUUGUUAGCCCCUAAAUGUUUGUGCUCCCCAAGAUUCCGCUGGUGAUCUCCUUUCCUCUCCCCCUCCAUCCUUUCUAUUGAUCUCACCUCCUUCUUAGGCUUCAGAGAGCCGUCUGUGCAGGUGACUAUGAAAUGUGUAUUUCUCAUCCACCUGCUUUGAGCUUAAGAUUUACAUCUGGAGAAGUCAGCCUAGGGGAGCCAUGGCAUCUGAGACUCAGCGUGUCUUAAACCAGAUUCAUCUCUUACUGUCCUCACCAGCUUCUCCAGCUCUCCUUUUAGCUGUAAUGACAGUUCCACUCUCUCAGCCACCAGAUUGUGGUGCCCUUCUUUGCCACAUCUUGCCUUCAUUCUCCACAUUGCAUUCGUUGCAGUUUUCAGGCUUAUCCUUAUAAAGUAUCUUUUCUUCCAAAAAUUGCUUGUGUAUACAUAUGCAUAGAGAGGUAUCUGGAAAUAAAUUCACCAGAAAGUUUAAUUUACCAUCCAGUCUAUCUCUGGGUGAUGGGAUUCUAUGUUGUUCAAGCUUUUUUUUUUUUUUUUUUUUAAUAACAGGCCUUAAUUACUCAUAGACUUGUGCCCAGCGUAUACCCAGUCUGUCUUCUCAGCACUCCCUUGCCCUGAACCCCAUAACUGGGGCUCAGUUGCUGGUUCAUUCAUUCUUUGUACCUCCGGUCAUCAUUUUCCAGGUGCCUUUCAAGUAAACUUUCCUUAGUGAAACCCUUCUCCCAGCUGAAUGUUUCUUCCUUCUGUGGGCCCUCUGGUCUCUAUGCUAUUUCCUGUAUUCUGCCCUCUGCUGUCUAUACAUGUGUAUUUUGUGUUCUGUCCUUUAUUAGAUUGUAAGCUCCAUGAGGGCAGAGUUUGGGUCUGAUUACCCAUCCUUUCCCCCUUUUGGUUACAGUCUCCCAGUUUUUCUUUGGGAGACAACACCUUUUCCCCCUGGCUACAGUUUUGGUGGGAUGGGCAGUUCAGGUGUCCUGCCAACAAGAUGCUCUUCUCCUGGAAUUUGAAUUUUGAGUCAUGAGAUACAAGGACUGACAGUGAUUGGCACUGAUUCAGCCUGGCCGAGGUGCUCUGAAGAAGCCACUCAUUAGUUCCUGCCUCCUAGAUCCCUGGAGCUGCCCUGGUCCCUGAACUCUCCGAAGCCUGGUUCUUCAGAUAUUCCUUCGUAUCUGUGAGCUAUCUCAUAUCCUUACAAUAAAUUCUCUCUCUCUCUUAUUUUAAGUUAACCAAAACCAGCUUCUGUUGCUUUUACCCAACGAUUCCUACCAGUAGAGCUGUUAUGAUUGGAACUGAGCAGACUUAAUCAUUCUAGCUCUUAUAUUAAUUCUGAUGCUUUUUUUUCUUUUCUUUAAAAACACAAACAAAAACAGCCAGAGACUGCUGCUGCUUUGAAACGUACGAUAGAGGCCCUGAUGGACAGAGGAGCAGUAGUGAGGGACUUGGAAAACCUGGGUGAACGAGUGCUUCCUUAUAGGAUGUCUGCCCACAGUCAGCAGCACAACAGAGGCGGGUAUUUCUUGGUGGAUUUUUAUGCACCCACCGCAACUGUUGAAAGCAUGGUGGAGCACUUGUCUCGAGAUAUAGAUGUGAUUAGAGGGAAUAUCGUCAAACACCCUCUGACCCAGGAACUAAAAGAAUGUAAAGGGAUUGUCCCAGUCCCACUUGCAGAAAAAUUGUAUUCCACAAAGAAGAAGAAGAAGUGAGAAGAUGCGCCAGAUUUUAGCCUUAUAUGUAAUUCCUUCACAUUUGAGCAGCAUGGACGAGAAGGAAGAGUUUGCAAGUUUGGCCUUUAUAUAAGCAUGUGUUGCAGGUGCUGUUUGAUUUUUCUAAGGUAUUUUUAGCCCUUGAUCCCCUUUGCUUGCAGGAGGUGAGGAACUGCUCACUGACAGCUUCUCUGUAACCUGCAGUACCAGUGGAUCAUUCUUGAUUUUGUUUUCAUUAGUGUCAUUUCUUUGUCAGUGAGGACUUUUCCCCUUAGAACAGUAACACCAUUUUUUGAAGAGCAAAACUUAUAAUACCUCCUGGGAUUGUGAGCUAGUCAUUCAGCCUGUAUAACCAUGCAGAAAUAAAAAUUGACGACCAAUGUAUUAUAUGGACAACUUUUGCUUUGAGUAAUAAACUUGGUUGUAGGAAUGCG